RNAcentral lists this ribosomal RNA (353 nucleotides) under uncultured soil bacterium. RNAcentral's name for it is "bacterial SSU rRNA". It matches the Rfam family "Bacterial small subunit ribosomal RNA", at positions 27 to 366 of the family's 1533-position model. The record is from RNAcentral.
GGAGUGAACGCUGGCGGUAGGCCUAACACAUGCAAGUCGAACGGCAGCACAGUAGGAGCUUGCUCUUACGGGUGGCGAGUGGCGGACGGGUGAGGAAUACAUCGGAAUCUACCUUUUGGUGGGGGAUAACGUAGGGAAACUUACGCUAAUACCGCAUACGCCCUUCGGGGGAAAGCCGGGGACCAGCAAUGGCCUGGCGCUGAUAGAUGAGCCGAUGUCGGAUUAGCUAGUUGGUGAGGUAAUGGCUCACCAAGGCGACGAUCCGUAGCUGGUCUGAGAGGAUGAUCAGCCACACUGGAACUGAGACACGGUCCAGACCUCCGUAACGGGGAGCCAGCAGGUGGGGAAUAGUU